Felis catus (domestic cat) is the source of this 4166-nucleotide long non-coding RNA. RefSeq lists it as uncharacterized. The transcript is spliced from 5 exons. Lineage: Eukaryota; Metazoa; Chordata; Mammalia; Carnivora; Felidae. The record is from RefSeq and is a predicted model, not a curated record.
AGGAGCCAUUCAAAGGGCUGCAGACUUAAUUGGACUAAUGACCCAUUGCUGUUAUGCAUAAAACUCAGGUGCCGGUAGAAAACCGACAAGGCCGAGGGAACGGCGUGUCGCUGUGAACCCAGGUGCACGUGAUGACCCAAACGGGCCUUUCCAAACACGCUCCCGGAGGUGAAAGGGGAAAAAAGUUGUAAGCUGCUUGUGCGCACAGCUGGGGCGGCUCCUGGGAGCAGGUUCCACUCCAUCUUGUGGUCCAACGGCCCAGCUUGCUGAAAACAAAUGGAAAGAAGUCCACGUGUUCAACUGAAGACGAUUGGGAAGGGGCGGGAAGUGCAGAUGAGAGGGCCCAACGAGGCAGAAGGGAAUGCUUUUAAAAGGUGCCGUACCUGGGCCAAGGCUCUGGUCCAACAUGGCGACGUAUGAAGGCUCUGAACUCACCGCCUCCAGGGGUAUACCGACCCCAACCCUCUUUAUAGACUGGCUCCCCCUGAAGAACGGACGGCUGACUGAACAGCUUCUGCACAACAAAGGAGACCACAGAGAGAAUGGCAAGAGCUAGUGAUGAAGAGAGCCCGCACCCGGAUACUGGGGACUGAUGUGGCAGGACAGGAUUGAGGGAGCAGAGCAGAUCUGCCUGCCACGUGAGCGCCCGGCCCCUGCCCACAGGAGCCCAGAUGCCAUGGGGCAUAGAGAAAAAGCUGGGGUUUAACAGAGCAACUAGAAUACAGAAGAGCCAGCCGUAGGACUCUGCCCGCAGAGAAGGAAGCUGCUGGAACUGUCUGUGGAUCGGAGGGGCUGGUGAGUACCAUGGUUUACAGUGCCCUUCCACUUUGAUAGUGUGUACUGUAGACAGAAGCGGGGUUCUGGGUGACCCAGCCAGCCGCCUCAGUGAGUUCCAGAGCAGCACAUACGGGGAUACCGCUGGUCAGUGCCCGCUACAGCUCUAGCUGUCAAAUUAGGUCACAGGGGCACAGGCACCCCAGAACACUCCAGGCCUGCACCACUUCAGCUCCAGAUGGCUUGCUAGGGCACCCCAGAACAGAGCACUCGGGACCUCCUGGCUCUCACCUGCUGAGCUCCAGCCACCCUGCCAGCAUGCCUCUCCCCCUGCCCCGACCUCGUACAGAAAGCCCUGGACACCUGGCGUGGACUCACUUCAGCCUCAGCUAUCCUGCCAGUGUGCUCUCUGUGUGGAGAGCCCCAGGAAUCCCUGGCCCACGCCUACUUCAACUCUGGCCAUUGCACCAGGGCAGCCCCCGCACAGAGUACCCCGGGACCCCCAGCCCAUGCCAGCCACAGCUCCAGUCAGCCUGCCAAAGUCAACAGACACACAUAGUCUACACAGGAGAUGACCAUACCCAAGAUGAUGCCUUCAAAUUUAGAAGAAACUGCUCUGCUUAAUUCUUAGACACAAGCACAGAAAGUCAAGCAAGAGGGAGAGACAGAGGAAUAUGCUUCAAAUGAAAGAACAAGGCGAAAACCUCAAAAGAAGAACUAAACGGAACAGAGAUAAACAAUACACCUGCUAAAGAGUUCAGUGAUUGUAAAGAUGCUCACCAGGCUGGAGAGAAGAUUGGAAGAAAUCAGUGAGAACUUCAAAAGAGAGAGAAUAUAAAAGGGAACCAAUGAGAGUUGAAAAAUACAAUAACUGAAAUGAAAAAUACACUAGGGCUGAUCAAUAGUAGGUUAGUGGAUGCAAAAGAAUGAAUCAGCAAACUGGAAGACAAGUUAUGGAAAGCACCCAAGCUGAACAGCAAAAAGUAAAAAGAAUUUUAAAAAUGAAGAUAGGUUAAGAGAUCUUUUGGACAACAUCAAGCAAACAAACAUUCUCAUUAUAAAGAUCCUAAAGGAGAAAAGAGAAAGGGGCAGAAAACUUAUAUGAAGAAAUAAUAGUUGAAAAGUUCCCUAACCUGGGGAAGGAAAUAGACAUUCAAGUUCAAGAAGCACAGAGAGUUUAAAACAAGAUGAACCUAAGGAUGUCCAUACCAUGACAUAUAACUACAGUGUCCAAGGUUAGAGAGAAAAAAAUCAUGUAACAAAUGUAGUUGUACGAACUGAACACAUUUGAGAAGAAGAAGAGGCUGAGUAUUGAAGACAUUCUGGACUAGGAAAAAAAGACAUUUGGGACUAGAAGACAUUCCUGUCUGGGGUUUUCGUUCUUCACCUGGGUUGGUUAGCUCAAGUCACUGGGGAUGUGUCAAUACCCCAAUGCGGAUGUCUGGAGCGGUAGUUGGAGAGAGCAUGACUCACAUGGAGAUUGCCUCCAGAUUUUACUCCCUCCCAGUACUGGAGUUAAAAAGACCCAUGUUCUGAUCCUGGUUCUGGCACUUACAGGGUCUGAAGAGAACCAUAAAGGUGAAAUGUGAGGAAGAAAAUGGUGCUUUUUAAAGCAACCCCAUGCUGCGUUGUCUGACAAUGAUGACGGAGAAAGAGUGCUGACUAUGGCUCAGAUGCUGCAUUGAUUUACAUACCUGGAUUACAUCAACCGUUUAAUCCUCACUUCAACACUCUGAGGUUUCAGCUUUCUGAGUCUCCCAGCUUAUUAAUGAAUCUGAUUUCAUUAACUCCUGGCUGGUAGACCCCCAAACUGAGGCCACGACUGGAGCCCAUUUGGGCCAGUCUCAUGGAACCACUUGCCGAACACCCAAGAGGGAAAAUAUCUGUUUAUCUUGGAAUGGAAGUUCUCACUCUUACAAGGUGUGCUGCUGGCAAUGCAGAAGGGCUGUCUUCCCCACGAUGAACUGGACGCUCUACCCCUCACCACCCAGAAACCUGAGCAGAAGGCGGGACUUAGCUCCGUGCUCUGGGCUUGUGGAUUUUCCCUCCCCCACGCUCCUCUGCCUUCCCUGGUGCCUAUCAGGGACAGGGAGUGAUUGAAAUUAUUGAUUCAAUCCGUUUAUCCUCCUACCCCGGUGCAUCUCGGCUGGACCACUGAUUCUAGGGCCGAGCUUCGGCACGGUCCGCUGGCUUCCUCCACUUGGUGCCGAGGGCAACUGGAGCUGCAGAAACUCCUGGGGAGUCAGCAACGAAGACCAAGGACUGGGCUGGCAAUGGACUCCAGUUCCCAAGCCAGCUGCAGCUACUGAAUCCAGGGAAAUUGUGACGCGGCCGGCUGUUCCGAAGGCCGGGCCCGUCAGCUUGAUCCACUGCAAAAGAGGCAGACUUGACUCUCAACCUCCAAGUCCAAAGUUCCUCCAAACCUGCAUCCUGAGCUCUUACAAGGAAUCUCUGUGGGAAUACUCCCUCCCAUAGUAUGGAAUAAGUCAUAGCCACAAGAAUGAAGACAUUGCUGUUCCUUGAGUGACAAUAAAAGCAUCAUCUUGGGGGCAAUCGUGACUGGACUUAUCGUAAAUGCCUUCCUCUUCUACUAGAUUCCUGAAGUUCUCCUGCCCGCCUGCAUUUAUUUCCCAAGAAUUCUGUGCAGCUGAAGUAAUGUGCAUGAAUAUUGCGUAACAUUCUGUGGACGGAUACCAUAUCGUAGAAAUAAUUUAAUUGACGACCUGUAAUGAAAAGAGCGCUGGAACAUUCUUGUGCUACUAAAAGUGAGAGUGAAGCGUGCAUUCAAAUCAUCACCAUCGCCAUAACCAUCACUCAAAUCUGCAAACCCAAGUCUGUGACAGAGGACCCUAACUUCAUCCGUACACCAACAGCAGCCCUCAAAUAUGAAGCAACAAGGCUUAGGUGCCCUUUAUGUCAUCAGUGUUAUAAUAGAAUAUUGCAUAUAGUACCCUGCUAGCAUUUUUGGUACUUUAGUGCUAUGGUUGGGGUCCUUUCUUCCUUCCUUCCUUCCUCCCUUCCUUCCUUCCCUCCUUGCUUCUUUCCUCCCCUCCUUUAGUUCUUUCUUUCUUUCAUUACUAAAUACAAAUUUUAUGUACUGUGAUAAAGUAGUGGAAAGAAACUGUGUCGUUCUCUUGAGCUAGUAGAAAUAAGAUUGCUGCUGAAAACCUUUAACUCCAAAUUCUCUGGCUUUCAUGGGAAUGGAAUUUCAACUCUAAUGCAGCAUUAAUGGGGUUUUGCAUUGAAUUGCCUUUUGGGGUUUGAUUUGCCUUUUAGAGAAGCUGGUGUUUGACUGCAUGUUCAAACACGGCAUGUAUUCUUAUGAGCAAUGUGAGAUUCAAAUAAACACAACGAGUGUGUUCAUUCUGAUGACCUCCCCAUCACACAUUCAA